This 389-nucleotide ribosomal RNA is filed under the name Merodon funestus. RNAcentral's name for it is "eukaryotic LSU rRNA". Lineage: Eukaryota; Metazoa; Arthropoda; Insecta; Diptera; Syrphidae. The record is from RNAcentral.
UUAGAGAGAGUUCAAGAGUACGUGAAACUGCUUAGAGGUUAAGCCCGAUGAACCUGAAUAUCCAUUAUGGAAAAUUCAACAUUAAUAUUAUAUUAUUUAUUUAUAAAUAUUAUAAAAAUAGUGUGCAAUUUUUCCAUAUAAGGACAUUGUAAUCUGUUAAUGUAAUAAAUAUUUAUCAUAAGAUUNAAUAAAUAAAAGUUUAUUCAAAUUAGUUAUUUUCCGAUUUCUAACAUAGAAUAAAUUUAAUUGAAUUUGAUAAAUCAUUGACAGAUUUAUUUAUAUAUAGUGCUUAAAUUCUUAAUUGAAUUUUACAAUAAUUUUUAAAUGUAUUUUUAUUUAUUUAUUGUAUGCACUUAUAUGAUUAACAAUGCUAUAGAUUCAGGAUACCU